GCGGGCGUAGUUCAAUGGUAGAACUUCAGCCUUCCAAGCUGAUAGCGUGGGUUCGAUUCCCAUCGCCCGCU
Molecule: non-coding RNA, 71 nt
Organism: Gammaproteobacteria bacterium
Lineage: Bacteria; Pseudomonadati; Pseudomonadota; Gammaproteobacteria
Source: Rfam